UUGAUGCCUCUGUCACUUUCUCUGCUAGCUAAUCUUUUAAAAAAGAAAUGGGUGAAGAGGGUUGCAUUUUAAUGAUAAUUUUUAAUUGAGAUUUCAUUUGAAAGCACAUGUGGUAAUAAAAGACAGACUGGGAGCUCAGUUAACACGGAUGCACAGGGAAAGAAGCAUAGCUUUGGGGAGGAGCAUUAGGAAUUCAUGGUGGAAUGUUUGGAAUAGAAAUAUCACUUGCCUGCUUGAUAUUCCAGAUUUCUCCCUGAACAUUAUUCUUCUGAAUGCAAAUAUCCCAGCCAUUAUUGGAACAGAAAGUUCGCCAACAAUACAUCCGGGAGUAGUGCCGCGGUCUAAUGAUACCUAGAUUAGAAUAUAAUUAUUCUGGCAGGCACAGGAAUGCUAAUACUACGGACUGCAACGAGAUUAGCACUUUUAACAACUGGUAAGAGCUGUAUUUAAAAUUAUUUGUAUAUGCAUAUUAUUACUCCUUUUAGUCUCAUCGCCACCAGUAAUUAUCCCAACAGGGCACACUGGGACAAUAUUUGAAAGCCAAACCAUGUUCUUAUGGUAUAUUGACAUUUUGUUUUGUUAUUCUGGAUUUUCUGACAUUGUCUCCUGUUCUCUAACAGUACAUUUAUUCCACCACAAAUAGUGAAGUCCUUGGCAUGCCACUGAAGGGCUGCCAAUUUUAACUGCAUAUAAAGCUUUUUAGGUUGAACUUUCAAAGAUCCAUAUUUCUCUAUACAGGAAUGUUUUAUUAGUUUCACUUUCUUCUAUGCUCCAUACAAUACCAAAAAUACCAUCCCUGUGCCCCAGUUCUUUCCACCCUGCACAUCUAUACUAUAGAAUGAAUAUAGUUUGACACACAUUCAAUGCUAUGGCAUGCUCGGAGUUGCAGUUUGGUGCUUUUACACCUUGUCAGCUGCUGAUAUUCUAAGACCCAUUGUCCAGGUUUCGAGGAGCUUUUCGAGUUGCUGUCAAAGAGGGAUUACAACCAGAUUAGGUGACCCGAGUAUUGCUACCUGAAUUAUUCCAUUUCUGACCUAAACUGUGAGUAUUUAAAUGCUCUCCGAAAGCCCAUUCAGCUGCCUCUUGGCACUUUGCCGUGUUGCUGAGAGGUCCAGUUUGUGAUGAUUUCCCCACGGCAGAGGGUUAUAUUCGCCGUCCGUGCGAAAGAAAGAAAAAAGAGAUGAUUUAUACGUCGCCGGCUCAUAGAAAUGAUGUUUAAAUCCCUCACAAGCAAGGAACUGACAUGUAUAAAGAAUGGAGGAAAUGAAAUAAAAUUAAAAGUGAUGUAGUUCCUCCGCAAAGAACAUUAUUUGUGAGCUAUGUGCAAGGAAUGAACAAUGUGCAAUCCUUGCGGACCCUGGUUCUGGCAUUGUGAUGCAUAACCUCCUUCCCUUUCCUCCUUUUCUCCUUUCUCUCUCUCCUCCCUCCCUUUUGUAUUUCUUCUCGAUAAUUUAUUUUCCACUCAGAGAUCAAAUGGAAGGAAGCAAGAUGUCUGAAUUAUGGGCUUGCUUUUUCCUGGCUAGAAUUGAACUUGCUAGUUGCUACCGAUUAAUGCCUAGAGGACGUUUGGAAAGCAAAUGUGGACAUUCUCAAGGAUAUCAGAUGAUGAUGAUGAUGAUGAUGAUGAUGAUGAUGAUGAUGAUGAUGAUGAUGAUGAUUUUGAUGAAUUGAAUAAGAGUUGGAAGGGGCCAUAAGAUUCACCUAGCCCAUGCAUAGGCAAACUUUGGCCCUCCAGGAAACCAUUAUCUCUGUCAUGCAAGUGUGCAUCUAUACCAGUGGUUCUCAACCUUCCUAAUGCCGCAACCCCUUAAUACAGUUCCUCAUGUUGUGGUGACUCCCCCAACCAUAAAAUUAUUUUCAUUGCUACUUUAUAACUGUCAUUUUGCUCCUGUUAUGAAUCUCAAUGUGAAUAUCUGAUACGCAGGAUGCAUUUCCAUUCAUUGGCUCAAAUCUGGCACAAAUACCCGAUACGCCCAAAUUUGAAUACUGGUGGAGUUGGGGGGGAAUUAUUUUGUCAUUUGAGACUUGAAGUUGCUGGGAUUUAUAGUUCACCUACAAUCAAUGAGCAUUCUGAACUACAGCAACAACGGAACAGAACCAAACCUGUCACACAGAACUCCCAUGACCAACAGAAAAUAUUGGAAGGCUUUGGUGGGCAUUGACGAUGGGUUUUGGAGUUGUAGUUCACCUACAUCCAGAGAGUACUGUGGACUCAAACAAUGCUGUAUCUGGACCAACACUUGAUACAAUUUGCCCAAAUUUGAACACUAGUUCAAUAGACCUUGAAAUUUGGUAGCUGUAGUUGAUGGGAUUUAUAGUUCACCUACAAUCAAAGAGCCCCUUGAAGCCCACCAAUGACAGAAUUGAGCCAAACUUCCCACACAGAACCCCCAUGACCAACAGAAAAUACUAGUCUCUGGUGGCCCCUCUGACACGCUUCUCGUGACCCCUCCCUCAGGGGUCCUGACCUACAAGUUGAGAAACACUGAUCUACACUGUAGAAAGAAUGCAGUUUGACACCACUUUAACUGCUAUGGCUCUAUCCACUGCAAUCAUAGGAUUUUUAGAAGUCAUUUCAGAACCACUGGGAGUGUGAUGGAAACUCCUUCCUUGGAAGCUUUUAAACAGAAUCUGGAUGGCCAUCUGUCAGGAGUGCUUUGAAUGUGAUAUUCCUGCAUGGAAGGGGGUUGGACUAGAUGGCCCAUAUGGUCUCUUCCAACUCUAUUAUUCUAUGAUUCUUUGUUAGAGAAAGCUAAGACCUUGUAAAACUACAAUUUCCAUGGCUCCAUAGCUUUGGGUCAUGGCGGUUAAAGUGAUGUCAAGCGGUAUUCCUUCUGCUGUGUAGAUGCACCCCAUGGGUCUCCUUUCUUCUUAGGUCUGUCCAUGCCUUCAUGGUUAUAAAGAGAUCCCAUUAUGCUGUAGCUGUUCUCCUUGGUCAAAGGAAUUUUGCUCACUUCUUUAAGAAGCUUGGAAGAAAGGUCUGCAUUGUAUUAUAUAAAAGAUUUAAAGCGCCCACUGAUCCACAGAUAUAAUCGAAGCCAAGUGAGGAUAAAAGUUAUGCUGCCUAUUGUAAGGAGGCGUUUUCUCUUCCAGAAUUCAGACACUAUUGAAGAAGGAAUGAAAUAAAUACCAAAAACAGGAGACCGCUAACAUUCUUCCACCCACAUCCAUACAUACUCCCAUUUCCCUUGAACUUGAUAGUUAAGACUAUGUCACUUUCUUCCCAAAGCACAUUGCCUGAAAAGGAGAGUCAUUUUUCAUGUAAAAAACAGGAUGGGGAAAAUAGUGCAAAGAAAUCCACUUUUUUGAACUAGCCUAGGAUUCUGUCAAAAGUUCCUUGAAAUACACAGAAAUCAGGCUGCCUUUCCUCGUUUGGACUUUUUACAACUACAGAAACUUUUCAGGUUUUAACGUCAUCUCUCAGUUCAGAGUCAACUCAGGAAAAUGGCUGUAUCCCAGUAUCCAACGCGAGUGGAAGUUUUUACAUCCAUGCCUAGAAGUUGAAGACGGUGCAUUAUGGAGGUGUUGGUGGUGACUGGGAAAGUUCCAUGUUAGUAGAGCAGGGAAUACAGAAUUUGGGCCAGUUUUGAAGGAGUUCUCCAAGGUGCUCAACUUAUUUAGUAAGAAUUUUCAGGACCUUGAGGAGCUCCAUUACACACCGGAUUAAAACCUGAAGUGGAUUCAAGGCUCUACUGAAAUGGGAACCCCCAGCUUCGACUAUGUGGAAGAGCAUGAUCAUGGGCACAUCUACACCGACCACAUAAUGUGAGAUGAAAGCAACAGAGGAGGAAGCUAUUUAGGUGGGGAACUGAUCACACAUCAAGGUCAGGAACUGGGCAAUGCUUCAUGGCCAAAUAUGAUUGUCUGCCAUGAGUAGAGUCUUGCAUUGAGUGACUCUAGACACCUGUUCUGGAUCUGCAUGGUCUUUCAUAGUGAAAGGAGGUCCCGGCAAGGGUUUGUUUGACCCGCCUUUCUCUUGGCAGGGCUUAUACACAUUUGCGGUAUCUGCAGCUUCACAGCCAUGAAGAAGUUGGGUACUUUUCCCCCAUCAUGCCAUACAAUGUGCAUGUAUGGAUCACUGGAAUGCCAGACCCUUGUUCAGUUUCACCAUGCAAUAUAGUUUGCACCAAUGUAUGCUUAUGUGCAUCACAGACCCUAUCCCCCAAUUUUGCUAUCUCAAUUUAAGGCCUCUGAUUCAUGUUCUUGCGCAUAUAGUUGUACCCUAAACCAUUUAAACACCACAUUUUCAAGCUAUUCACAUUAGGUGGUCAGUGUAGAUGUGUGCCAUGAUACACAGUUUCUAACACAUGAAAGUGUUGCUAUCUGAUACUCAUCUGUUUGUUAAGAUGAUUCAUAUUAGAGAGAAUAUUCCUUCAAAUCCUCAUAAGCAAAGCAAAAAAAUUAGGAUUUUCCUCUGUAGACAGCUCUUUUAAAAACAUUUAUUAUUUUGGGGUAUUAUUUAUUUAUUUAUAUUGUUAAAUCUGUUACUGAACUUGGCUUUUGAAUGCCAGUGACUUUGAUCCUCUGCUCGCUCACUCUCCAGUGGUUUGGUGUCUGAGAAUGGCUAUUUACAAAUGGGCAGACGGGACUGUGAUGUGAUUUUUUUUAUUUCAUGCACAUGGCUCUGGAGAUGAGGCUUUCUGGGGAAAUAUGUUUGAUGUCACAGCAGCAAAAGAAGAACUAUUUUCAUUUGCUUUCCAUUUAUUUUCCCCUGCCCUGUUUAAUUCUUUCAUUUUGAAUGCUCGGCUUUCUUCCAGCAUCUCUAAUCUCUUUUACUUGCUCUGAAAGAUAAUGCGGGAGAUGACUCACAACACCUAGCAAAAUCUUAAUAGAUGCAAUGAAAGUGGAGAAGAACAGGUGGGUGGAAGAUUAGGUGGUCAAGAGCUCUUUAUCUAAAUGCCUUCUACCCAAAAUCUCUCAUGUGGUGAAAGGUUGAAAUAUUUGGGCAACACGCAACAUGCUGAUUCUCAUGCAGGUUCACUGUCAACCACUUGGCCAACCAUUCUGGACAGCCUUGAAUAAGCAUUUUUGAACCUACCACCCUGAAAUGUGAGCCAUGCCCUUUCCUUCAUUGUCGUAGCUUUGUUUCCUACCAAAAGCUACUUUAGAGGACCUACAGCUUCACCAACAUAGGGAUUUCCAAGGCACAUGGAAUGAAACAAAAGAAGGUUCCAGGCAGCCACGCUCUCCGUGGGCCACACUAUGCCCUUGGGGUAUGAGCAUUGUAUGAACGUUAACUCUACAUAAACAUGAUGUAGGGUCUCAGCUGAUGUCUCACUCCUACUCUGAAAAGACCCAAAUAAUGAGCUGGUGCUGUGCUCUCCCAUGUUUCCGCAUGCAAAAAAAGUUUGUAAAUACCUGCAAAACUGGGAGAACCAGAAAGAAAAAAACCCUGCUGUCUUUAACUGACAUACAAGGAAAACAGUUGCAGGACAUUGUUAUACAUGCCAUUUUUUUAAAAAAAAAAUGGUAGGUCAGGCCCCUGAAGCCCUAGAACUAUCACACUCUGCUUCAUGCUUUUGUCCCCCUUGGAUAAAUAUAUUGUCACAUAUAAUCGAACAUGCCAAAGGCUUAACUAGGUCUGAUUCUCAAUUGCCUGGAACUUGUUGUGAUGUCUCCAGCUGCUCACUGUACUGAAUCCAGCUGUAAUAUUCAUGUUGACAACAGAUUUUUAAUGUCCAUUUAUACAUUUGCUUUGUGGAGAAAAUACAACCACAGCAACCCAUUGAUUGGGGUCCUCUUGGUGUCUUACACAUACACAUAACCCAUGAUGGGAGAAAGGCAGGAUAUAAAUCCUAUAAUUAGCACCUGACCAGCAGGUGCCAAGGCUAUAUCCACUUCAACUGUGUCAACUACAGCAUCCAAGUCUGAGCGAAACUGAGCAAUUUUAUCUGCAACAUGCUGUGCAAAUUCUUUACAGAUAGCUGUUGAGUGCAUCUUUCCCUUGAAGACACAUUGGUAAUAGUCUUCUGAUCACUGAAAACAGAUCCAUUGAGCAGUCCUUGGCAGAUGCAAUGGUGGCAGCAAAAAAUAUUUCUUUGCUGCCCUCAUUGCCAUGGAUUAGGCCUUCAAAUGAGGUCUAGUCCAUGUCCGGUCAGUUUUGCUUCAUGUUUUCUCUGUCUCGCUUGCUUCAUCACUGCCAGCUCCUUGGAAAACCAGGAGGCUGGUUUGGGUCCACUCCAUAAGAGGAGAUGGUCAUCCUGGUCAUUUCCCCAUUCCAAAGGUCAACCAUAGCUUCAACAGAUUCAACUGCAAAAGUAACAGGAAACUUCCCAAGAACCAUCAAGAAUCUAUCCAAAUCCAUCAACCUCCUUGGGCAGACCUUCCUAAUCCUCACACCUGCAGAGGUUUUGAAUCCCAGACCACUAAACCUAAUGACGUGAUGAUUGAUCCAUGACAACCAAACCGUAUAAAGUUCCUCCAUACCACAACCAUUAUCAUCUCAUGUUUUAAUUGUUUUUAAAUUGUUGUUGUUGUUGUAUGCUUUUUCUUGAUGUAUUUAUUGCUGUGUUUGGAUUUCUUUUUACUGUUGUAUUUUUAUAUUGUUUGGGCAUGGUCCCUUUGUAAGCCGCCCCGAGUCCCCUUGGGGAGAUGAGGCAGGAUAUAAGAAUAAAGUAUUAUUAUUAUCUCAUCCCACACAAAAAAACUAGUAGGAACAGACACCACUUGGGACAGAACCAUGGUUGUCAAGGAGGCUAUGAACUCCUGACACGGCAGUCUCAGCAUGGAUGUUGAAGUCCCCAAGCACAAUAAGAUGCUGAGACUCCAGCACUAAUCCUGGCAAACUCAGGAAGGGAGACUGUUGAGCAGCAGGGUGGGAAGUAGACCAACAGGAUCCCUUUCCUGACCCAGCUGCCCACCUUUAGGUAUAAUACUGGAACUUUGCAGACUGUAGGAUGGAGAACCUGCUCAAGGGGGGUGGGAUCAUGAUAGACUACUGCCGCUCCACUUCCUUACCCCCAGAUCUCAGCUACUGCUACACAAAACAAAACCCAGGCAAGCAAGGCUAAGAGAUUAACCCCCAUGCCAAGUCUCAUCCAUAAAGGUUUCCGUAAUACAAGCCAGGUCAGCAUGCUCAUCCAGAAACAGGUCCUCUGUGGCACUUGUUUUUCCAUUUACUGUAAAUGUGCAUACACAUUUGUAUGUUUAUUUAGUUGGGCAAUGUCAUACUUCACCAAUCGGGAUGUGAGGUGGGGGGGGGGGGGUUGUUCACAAACAUUGAACCUUAACUCUGUGUGUUUGGAUGGAAGAUCUCAGCCUUAUAUCCUUCUUUCUUGGAAGAGGUUAUUUAUGAGCACAGCGCAAGCAAACACAUGUUGAGGGAAUAUCGUGUUUCAAAUAAGAAUGAAUAGAAAUUGUGAUCUGACAGUUUAGUUUUAUCCCCCGUCUCCUCUCUCCAGGCACCAUUUCUCCCGUUCUUGAACCACUAUUAUGGCUGGGAAAACAUUUAUGCAAAGCACAAGGAAAUGUGCCUUGCUCUGCUGCCCAUCCAAUUACUUAUUUUCUCUGAUAGAGUCUCAUUUCAAUGUAAUACUAUUUCCCCAACCAAAAAAAAAACCUGAACAGCACAGGGAUUGAUGGCUUGACACAUGUUGCUUGGUUCCAGAACCAACGAGGUGCUAUUAAUCCCAGCCAAAGGAGAUGAUGGAAAUGUAAGGAUCAAGCAAGACAGAGAUAUGGAAGACAGGUUUGUCUGUAUUUAAAAAUCUGCCCAUAGUGAACAAAGUUCUGGACACAGAAAAAGGGCACAUCUCCACUCUUUAGUUUUUUAAUGCUGGAAUGGUAAGAAUCUCUUCAGUUUGGGACCUAUUGUGCGUAAAAUUUACAAGUGUUUUUGUUUACACCAAAACAGGAUUUUGCUACAGAGAAAAUAAUACUUUUAUGCAGAAAUAUUAUUUUCUAUCAAGAAAAAAAGCUGUCAUCAGAAUCCAACACUCAAACUACUACACAAUACAAGAUCUCGUGUAUAACAUGCAAAUAUUUACACCAGGAGAAAGAGAUGGGCAAGAAGAAAAGUCAGAUGAGAUUCAGAGCAACUCAAUGGUGGAGAGAGAGAGAGAGAUUUUCCCCAUCCCUGUUCAACAGCUGGUCUUGGCAUCAUUUGCUUUCAUAAAGGUUACAUUUACACAAUAUCCGGUAUGUGCCUUUCCCUUGGGACAGAUGUGAGGAGACUGCAGAGGUGAGAAACAGACAUACAAGCUCAGCAAUCCCUCACUUAAAUCCUGAGCAGAAGAUGGGGAACAAUGGAGCUCAAUUUGAAAUACAUUUACAUGGUUUUGCAAGCCAGAUAGGAUCUAACACUGAAAUAAUCAUAACCGGUAGAGGAAGCACACUUUCAUAUUAUGUACUUAGAACAUAACUAAGAUGUUUUGUAAAUUCAAUGUUUAUAUGGUUAUUUAUAUAGCUCUUGUAUUUCUGGCCUGUGGCUGAAAUAAAUUUAUUGAUUGAUUCA
This is a long non-coding RNA of Anolis carolinensis (green anole), 8452 nucleotides long. RefSeq lists it as uncharacterized. The record is from RefSeq and is a predicted model, not a curated record. Lineage: Eukaryota; Metazoa; Chordata; Lepidosauria; Squamata; Anolidae. The transcript is spliced from 2 exons.